Molecule: transfer RNA, 65 nt
Filed under: Ischnoptera deropeltiformis
Lineage: Eukaryota; Metazoa; Arthropoda; Insecta; Blattodea; Blattellidae
Description: tRNA-Ile
Source: RNAcentral
AAUGAAGAGCCUGUGGAAAGGAUUAUCAUGAUAGGGUAAAACACGUAGUAAAACUACCUUCAUUG